AGCGAACGCUGGCGGCAUGCCUAACACAUGCAAGUCGCACGGGGGGGCUUCGGCCUCCCAGUGGCGGACGGGUGAGGAACGCGUAGGGACCUGUCGAGGGGUGGGGGAUAACCGCGGGAAACUGCGGCUAAUACCGCAUGACGCCGCGGCGUGACAGCCGGGGCCAAAGGCGAAAGCCGCCCGCCGAGGGGCCUGCGUCCGAUUAGCUGGUUGGCGGGGUAGCGGCCCACCAAGGCGUCGAUCGGUAGCUGGUCUGAGAGGGUGAUCAGCCACACCGGGACUGAGACACGGCCCGGACUCCCACGGGAGGCAGCAGUGGGGAAUAUUGGACAAUGGGCGCAAGCCUGAUCCAGCAAUGCCGCGUGGGUGAAGAAGGUCUUCGGAUUGUAAAGCCCUUUCGGCGGGGACGAUGGUGACGGGACCCGCAGAAGAAGCCCCGGCUAACUUCGU
RNAcentral lists this ribosomal RNA (450 nucleotides) under uncultured bacterium. Its description in RNAcentral is "partial 16S ribosomal RNA". It matches the Rfam family "Bacterial small subunit ribosomal RNA", at positions 28 to 506 of the family's 1533-position model. The record is from RNAcentral.